RNAcentral lists this ribosomal RNA (450 nucleotides) under uncultured bacterium. Its description in RNAcentral is "bacterial SSU rRNA". It matches the Rfam family "Bacterial small subunit ribosomal RNA", at positions 354 to 796 of the family's 1533-position model. The record is from RNAcentral.
GUGGGGAAUUUUGGACAAUGGGCGCAAGCCUGAUCCAGCCAUGCCGCGUGCAGGAUGAAGGCCUUCGGGUUGUAAACUGCUUUUGUACGGAACGAAAAGACUUCUUCUAAUACAGGAGGUCCAUGACGGUACCGUAAGAAUAAGCACCGGCUAACUACGUGCCAGCAGCCGCGGUAAUACGUAGGGUGCAAACGUUAAUCGGAAUUACUGGGCGUAAAGCGUGCGCAGGCGGUUAUAUAAGACAGAUGUGAAAUCCCCGGGCUCAACCUGGGAACUGCAUUUGUGACUGUAUAGCUAGAGUACGGUAGAGGGGGAUGGAAUUCCGCGUGUAGCAGUGAAAUGCGUAGAUAUGCGGAGGAACACCGAUGGCGAAGGCAAUCCCCUGGACCUGUACUGACGCUCAUGCACGAAAGCGUGGGGAGCAAACAGGAUUAGAUACCCUAGUAGUCC